AUAGUUUUGGUAGUACAUAUACUAAAAACUGGAAUGAAAUAGAGAAGAUUGAUGUGGGCCAUGCACAAGGAUGACACACAAAUUCAUGAAGCAGUCUAUAUAUUU
Molecule: small nuclear RNA, 105 nt
Organism: Myotis lucifugus (little brown bat)
Lineage: Eukaryota; Metazoa; Chordata; Mammalia; Chiroptera; Vespertilionidae
Source: Ensembl